UGCCAGACUCCUACGGGAGGCAGCAGUGGGGAAUAUUGCACAAUGGGGGAAACCCUGAUGCAGCGACGCCGCGUGAGCGAUGAAGUAUUUCGGUAUGUAAAGCUCUAUCAGCAGGGAAGAAGAUGACGGUACCUGACUAAGAAGCCCCGGCUAACUACGUGCCAGCAGCCGCGGUAAUACGUAGGGGGCAAGCGUUAUCCGGAUUUACUGGGUGUAAAGGGAGCGUAGACGGCGAUGCAAGCCAGAUGUGAAAGCCCGGGGCUCAACCCCGGGACUGCUCUUGGAACUGCGCGGCUGGAGUGCAGGAGGGGCAGGCGGAAUUCCUGGUGUAGCGGUGAAAUGCGUAGAUAUCAGGAGGAACACCGGUGGCGAAGGCGGCCUGCUGGACUGCGACUGACGUUGAGGCCCGAAAGCGUGGGGAGCAAACAGGAUUAGAUACCCCUGUA
RNAcentral lists this ribosomal RNA (446 nucleotides) under uncultured bacterium. RNAcentral describes it as "bacterial SSU rRNA". It matches the Rfam family "Bacterial small subunit ribosomal RNA", at positions 329 to 792 of the family's 1533-position model. The record is from RNAcentral.